AUUGAACGCUGGCGGCAGGCCUAACACAUGCCAGUCGAGCGGAUGAAGGGAGCUUGCUCCUGGAUUCAGCGGCGGACGGGUGAGUAAUGCCUAGGAAUCUGCCUGGUAGUGGGGGAUAACGUCCGGAAACGGGCGCUAAUACCGCAUACGUCCUGAGGGAGAAAGUGGGGGAUCUUCGGACCUCACGCUAUCAGAUGAGCCUAGGUCGGAUUAGCUAGUUGGUGGGGUAAAGGCCUACCAAGGCGACGAUCCGUAACUGGUCUGAGAGGAUGAUCAGUCACACUGGAACUGGGACACGGUCCAGACUCCUACGGGAGGCAGCAGUGGGGAAUAUUGGACAAUGGGCGAAAGCCUGAUCCAGCCAUGCCGCGGGUGUGAAGAAGGUCUUCGGAUUGUAAAGCACUUUAAGUUGGGAGGAAGGGCAGUAAGUUAAUACCUUGCUGUUUUGACGUUACCAACAGAAUAAGCACCGGCUAACUUCGU
This 483-nucleotide ribosomal RNA is filed under the name uncultured bacterium. Its description in RNAcentral is "partial 16S ribosomal RNA". It matches the Rfam family "Bacterial small subunit ribosomal RNA", at positions 30 to 506 of the family's 1533-position model. The record is from RNAcentral.